UACGUAUGGUGCAAGCGUUAUCCGGAUUUACUGGGUGUAAAGGGAGCGCAGGCGGCGCGUUAAGCCUGGUGUGAAAGCCCGCGGCCCAACCCCGGGACUGCAUUUGGAACUGUUAAGCUGGAGUGUCGGAGAGGCAGGCGGAAUUCCUAGUGUAGCGGUGAAAUGCGUAGAUAUUAGGAGGAACACCAGUGGCGAAGGCGGCCUGCUGGACGAUGACUGACGUUGAGGCUCGAAAGCGUGGGGAGCAAACAGG
Molecule: ribosomal RNA, 253 nt
Filed under: uncultured Eubacteriales bacterium
Lineage: Bacteria; Bacillati; Bacillota; Clostridia; Eubacteriales
Description: uncultured Clostridiales bacterium partial 16S ribosomal RNA
Rfam family: Bacterial small subunit ribosomal RNA
Source: RNAcentral